GUGAUCAACAAGAGAUUAUUUCAUGCAGUGCCAUAGUGAAACAGCAAGUAAGAAAAUUCAAGCCUAAGAAAGCAAAAACUUAUUGCACUAGGUAUCAGUGCUGAGUGAGUCAUACUGCUGACAGAUUCUGACAGAAACCCACUUUACCAAAUAGUGUGACAUUUCUGAUGCCAUUAGAGUUACUCCAGACUCUUCAGAUAUGUAGGUGAGACCAGACUUCUGAUAACUCCAGAUCUAUACUGGAUGGAGGCAUCUCCAGGGGGCUAUGCAAGAUAUCACUGCAGUAGAGCAAAUCAUUAUUUUCUCUCCAAUGACAGUUUCAAAAAUGACAAACCCAAAGAUCACUUUAGACUGUGCAAUGGCUUUUGAGAAAAAACAUAUUACAGGCUAUCUGACAGCUAUCUUAACUUGAACUGCCAGGAUUCAUUUUUCUCAGAACAUCUCAAGCACAGAUGAAGCAACUUUCUUCCAGCAGAAAAUCUGAUGAGCCUGAUCUAGUCUAAGCAGGAAUCUGAAGUAUUCAGUGCUGUGCACGUCCCCACACAGAGGGCCAAGGAAAGCUGUAUGUGUCAUUUCAAUCAACGGUUUACUAAAGGACUGAAUAUGAAUUAUUGCACAAGUGUGCCAUGGUGUGGCUCAGCACUUUGAACAACAAAUGCAAUCCUCCCUUGGGGGAACAGCGUUGCUGACAGAGGACACCUGCUGGUGGAAUGACUGGCCUUCGAAUCCUUUGUUAGCACAGAGAUGAAGGCUAUCGUUUCCUCUACGCUUGAAGCUGAAUCAGUGCUUCCAUGGAAAGAAAGAAUCCUAUCCACCUCCAGUCUCUUGCUCCUGCCUCAAACCAGCCUUGCUUUGGGCUAGCACAAGUAUUUGUGCAGUCAGGUGAUAGCCAGGACUGUAAGAACUGAAAAACAGCCUGGCCAAAACAACAAAAAAAAGAUUUAUUUUUCACUCUGCUCAUUUCUGCAGUAUACUCACAGAAAAACUUGUGCUAGCACAAGGAAGGACACAAUUUGGGUGUGAAAAUAAAUGAUCGGAGAAGGGCAGGACUGCUUCUUUCAAUGGCUAUACUUGCUUAUGUAGGCUGAAUCUGUUGUAUGAAGUACAGCCAAAGGAUAAUGUAUCUAAAAAUGCUUGAGUCACUCUGUAGCCUAGCUUGAUUCCCUCUUCUUUGGAAAAUGCAGCUCAGACUGUUAAGUCUGUUAGAGAGUUAAAAAAUUGGACAGCUUCCCCCAUGUGGAUAUUUACUGUGGGAGGUAACCUUGGGUAAAGUUCAGAAAAAAAAAUCAGGUGACAUACAUUCACUGAACACUCCGUGGAUUAUAUUAAAGUCUUUGUCAGUUUAACCGUGCACAGAGAAAGUAAUCGGAUCCUUGCAAGGCAAGGCUCAGCUUUGCGAGCCAGUGCAACUGAAAUGGGAGUGGGAUGAUACAGGUUAUGCUUUGCAUUUAUCUUGCUGGAAUAUGAUAGGACAGGAUUACAAGGAUAUAUCCCCAUUGCAGGAGAAGGAAUCAAGAUACUAGGACAGUGUGCUGCUCUGAUGUCAAGGACUGUGAACCAUUUGCAAGACAACUGUGAUCUUAACUGUGUUGUUAAUGUGAAGUUAAUGUAAAUAUAAAUGAGUUGGUAACUAUCCACUGGAAUCAUUUUUACUUCAAAUGUACUGAUGGAUAAAAGCUUCCUUUAUGUUAGCAUGUAAUUUAUCUUGCUUAGACUACAGAAAUGCAUGUUUACAGACAGUUCUUUGGAAUCCUCCCCAGAGUGAUACCUUUAAUAGGUUUCAGUCAUUUCAUCUGUCAGGCUUGGGAGAUUACAAAUAUGAAAAGGAAAACAAGCUGCUAGCAAGGUGUUACUUUUUGACUUUGUUAUUAGAAUCAAAGGUUUCUGCUGAAGUGAAUCUGUGAUAUUUUGUAAUAAUUUUGUAAUGAAGCAAUGAACCAAGCAAAAGUGACCAACAUUAAUUGGGACCCAUCUAAUCUGAUGGUUCGGAAGAGAGAGCAGUUCACUAAGAAAGAUUGCCAGGGGUAUGGAGGAUGUGAGACAGCUGCCUGAAAUAUAGCUAACUGCAAUAACAGCAGCACAGCAGAGCUGUAGUGCAAGCGCUGAGUAGGCCUGUAGACAUUUAUAAUGUAGACAUUUAUAAUGAAUUAGUCUGGGAUGAAGAGAUAAAGAGGGCCUUGUAAAAUCACAUAAGAAGCCAGAACAAACAGUUCAAAGGAAAGUAUUACUUGCAAGGUGUGUAACCUUACCAGGGGAAUCGAGGUCAUUCUAACUCUGCAGCAAAGAUGUACCUGUUUUAAGAAAUGCAGUAAAAUCCUUUGUGUGUGAAGCAUGUCAGAAGCGUUUUGAUAAGCAGCACGAAGCCUAAAAAAUAUAUAACUUAAGCCAGUAAAUAGGGACAGGACUUAUGAGAUCAAACCUCAUUAGUCACCAAAGUGACCGAGUUACCCAGUUUAUCAUCACCCCCCAACUGAACCGUGGUAAUUUAAUGUAUGGACUCUUCCAGCAAGUUUCAGUCAUCAAAUAAAACAUGUGACCUUCACUCACCUUCAAGACAACCUGUUUAGGAGCUCUGCAUAGUUGCAAAGGUAACAUAAAUUUAAUGAGAAAGUAUAUAUGUAUUAAUUUGCUACUGGCUGAAAUGGUGGGUAAGGAAGACUUUCUUCCUGCUAAACAUUUGGGGGGUUGUAUUUUUAUACAUGUGGACUCUGGGAUGACUUUCUACUGCCUCGUGUGAGUGAAAUAUGAGAAGCCAGGGAAGUGCUAUGAUGGUAGAAGUGUAAUGAAAGAGAAAAGUCCUUCAGAUGUGAGAUAUACAUAGCUAUGAACUCAUACCUCAUUUUUCAGCUGUUUUAUGCACCAUUAAGUACUUUAGCAGCCUGACAUACAUUCAGUCAGGCACCGAUUGCAUCCUCAGAGCUCUUUACAGACUUAACUUUUGGGUUGCUCCUGCCUUAAUCUGAAUUUCAUGUAAAAUAUAUUCGAAAAGGUGUGUUUGUUUUGUCUGUGUACAUGACGAAACAUAACCCUAGGAGAGACAUCUUAAUAUCCAAAACAAUGCAACAGGAUAUAGUGUCCUAACACACAGACUGUACCAGAGCACCAGUAUUCAGCAUCACAGACACUUCUUGCCAGGAAUUUGGGUUUUUUUUCUGGUUGACAGUCUAAUACUAGCCAAGACAAAACUUGAGAGCAGGAAAGAGUUAGACAAAGCUGUCUUUGCAUUAUAUAAUGAAUUAGAACAGGCUAAGCUGGGAAAACUAUAAAAUGUAAAAUGCUAUAAAAUUGCAUAGAAUAGGUGUGUUAAUUAGGAGCUAAUUAUGUCGUGUGAGCAAUUGACUCACAGGUGUUCUGAGUUUUAGAAAGAGACAGGGAUUUACAAGGUAAUGAUGACAGUGUCUGUGUCUGUGAUGGGCAGAAAUGUGGGGUUCUAUUUCCUGUUGAGGAGAAUAAAUGAAGCUGAACUUGUUCUCUGCCCAGUAUUAAAUAACCUAACCUGGCCUUUUGAGGGCAAUUAUAAUUUGCCGUAAAGCAAGCGAUGCAGCUAGCAGAUUCAGUAUUUAAAGGAUAACCAGGGUUCAUAUCUGCAUGGCAUGAGUUGUACCAUUAAUUUGUGUAUCAUUACUGAGUGUGGUCUCUCUUGCUACUCCAGAAGUAACACAAAUUGAAAGUAAUAUGCCUGAAGAAGAGAAAUGGAAGGAAUAAUAUUAGUUAACACCAGCAUCUGAGGUUGCAUAAAGAAAUGAAAGUACUGAGGCUUUCUUCUUUUCUCCUGUGUGAAUGCAUACGUUGUUUUCAUAGAGUAAGAGAAAAUAACAGCACAGACUGAGGGGUUGGGCAACUGGGAAUGCAAAAUGUCGAACUAGAAAGUGCCUCUAGUAACUUGAUGUUACAGCGGUCUACAUCAAAGCUUUUUUUCAUAGUAGUAUUAAGCCCUAUUUGAAUACAACUAUGGUGGUUUAUCUUCAUGCUCCUGUCAGAAGACUAUUUUAGAAUGUCAAUCCUCCAGCACCAGAACUUUGAAAUAUCCAAGUGCUUAGGCUGCACUAUCAUUGUUACAUUGUAGUUGUGUAAAUAGGAAUGAGUUACUUGGUGUAUUUGUCAUUGCUUGAAAAAUAAAAGAGAGAAAUGAGGGAAAUCCUAGGCAUUUUCCCUUUUCACUGUAUUUUGAUUAUGCAUUAAUGGUUACAGUUGUUCUUCUAACCUUAAAAUAGAUAACUGGAAACAAACAUACAUAAAGAAACUUAAAAGGAGUUUUUAAUCUUUAGGCAGUGACUAGAAGUGCCUAAAAUGCUUGAGUAAGUGAAAAACAAGUAAAUUAGCCCAACUUUGGAUGUAGAUAAAUCAUGUGUGUUUGACCAUAAGUACGAACUAAGAGUCUUAGAAAUUUAUUUCCAGCUAAAAGGUAUAAGUCACACAUGUAAAACUAAGUCCUAUUUAUGUUUUGAACCAAUAACAGGAGACAGAUCAUUUGCAUUUCAAAGGCUUAGUCAGCCUCCGUCAGAGCCUUCUUAUAUCUUCAGACAAAUUCAAUUUAACACCAUUAUUUUCCAUAAAUGUGUUAUUUUCCUGCACAGUUACUAUGUAGAGUUUACCAGAGAAAAACCAAAUGAUCCGAAUGUGCCUUCUGCAUGAAGGUGCUCUCUGAAUAUAGAUGGGAAAAGUGGGCAUUUUCCUCACAGUGUAUGUUCAGUUGCUGUACUUUUCCAGGAACUCCUGUAAGUUUCUUGUUUAAUACACACUCAAAUACAUGUCAUGCAGAGCAAAGAAAGCCAUCUUAAGUAUUCUGGGAAUCUGCCUUGAGGAGCAAUUGCAAAAGCUUUGACCAUCUGUAGACAGGGAGAGGGUUCCUAGACAGAGAUGGAUGGAAGCGGAUUGGCACUGUGAAGAAAAAUAGGCUGAUGCCAGCAGCCAUUUCACACUGAUCAGCUUGAAAAUUGCAUGUACAUUUGAUUUCAAUCAUAUUUGUCUGCUUUCUCUUUUCAUAUAUUAAAAUGUAGUAAUAAUAUUCUAUUUGCUAUUUAUCUUAGUAAAAGGGAGAAGAAAGCUCGCAGUAGGGGGAUACAAAAGAGGAUAUUAGGAGAUCACAGAAUAAUGAUAAAGUAAAAACUGCUGCUGCUCAGGCUGAUAUCGACUAUGCAAAGGAAAUGAGAACAAAGCAUUGUGGAGAGAAAAAGAAAAGAAGAAAUGGGCAGUGUUGUAGAAAGAAUGGGAUUAAGUUAAGCACAGUUUGCCUCAGUUUUCAUUGAAGAUUGCAGCUGAAGGUAGCCUGCCCUAUAGAAAUAGUUGGACACGGAAACUAGAUGGAGAAGGUGGCCCUAAAGGUAAAAGAACACCCAGUGCUCAGCUAGGGGAGCAGGAUAUUCUCCAUCCCAGAACUCUGACUCAAGGUGACGAAGUUUUUUUUUUCUUUUUUUUUAAUGAAUUCCAAAUUGAGGUGCCAUAAAUACCAUGACCACAGAAUAACAAAUGCAACAACUUAUCUAAGAAUUUCUUUUUAAGUCAGUUGUGCAAAUAUCUUCUGACCUUAGGAUGCACAAACUUCUGAAAACUGACAGAGGAAAAUACAGAUAUUGUGUGGUGACAGAUAGCAGACUGAAGCAAACUAACCUCUAGACACAUGCUUGGUAUGACAGAUGAUUAUGUUUUUAAGACACCGAAAGUAGAAGAGUUUUGAUGUAACUAAACUUCAGCACAGUAUCUGAGUAUGUUACUGCCAGAAAAAAUUUAUUACUUAAACCAAAGAAGACCUGACUUAAUAGAAAAAUUAUAAAGUGGGUAAAAAGCUGCUCAAAGGACAAUCUGGAGACAGCUGACUGGGGGGAGGUAACAAGGGACAGGCGUUGGGCUGAUCUUUCCUAAUACUUGUACAAAAAUUCAGGAAUGUAUUAGUGAAAUGUGCUCAUACACUGUGAGACCAAAAAUUUGUACAGGAGAAACUUAAAUAAUUUUAAGCAUUGCAGAAAUAGCAAUUGAAUUAAAUGUACUAGUACCACUUGUGUGGGCACGAAUUUAGGGACUGAGAGCAAGAAAUUCUGAUGGAGGCAUAGUAUUUGUCAGCUGGAAAUAAGAGACUAGAAAGACCUGUGUGUUGAUCACAGAAGGGCUGUGAACUGCCAAAAGUUAGGUGGCGUGCAAAAGGCAAAUGUAAUCUCAGGAUGUAUCAAGUCAGGUAUUUCCAGCAGAGGAAAAGAAAGAGAAUGCCAUUCUCAAGAGUCAGGAGAGGGGCUUCAUCUAAAAUGCUCUGUACAGACAACACAGAAAGACAGUCAUACUAGAAGAGGUGCUACAAAGCGCUGCUAUAACAGACAGGGGAGCAGAGGGAAUACCAGCAAAAUUCUUACCAUAGGAGAUUUGUGAAUUAUUUCAUUUUGCUGAGCCCAUUAAAUAGGAACCCUGUCUACAGAUAUCACAAAGGAUGAUAUCAGCAAAAAAAGAAUCACAUUAAAAGAUGAUGUUGGCUAAAGGGCAAACAUGUUGAAGUGCAGUUCCGUACAUCUUUGCAUAACUGAGGAAGAAACUAGCUUAAGUGUCUGAAGAUGGAGCUUGAUAGUCAUAAAAAAUUUAUCUUGUGCUUGCUUGCUAAGGGAGGGAACUUCAUGACAUCUUACGUUCUUAUGUGAAAGUGUCAUCCGAAUGCUUAGUAUGGUCUUUGAACAUAAGAACUCUCUCUGCUUGAGUUAUUCAUAAACUCAUCUCAAUUCUCUAGCUGUGUUCCAGAAGUAUAAAUAGAGAGUGUACACAAGUGAUUAUCUAUAGAAGGGAUGAUCUUGAAAUUAUUAUAUCUCCAGCCAAUUGUAUUUCCUUUCCUUGAUUGUACUUGUGUUUGUUUAGAUUAUGAACUGAUUAUUCCUCUGUAUUUGACACCGUCUCAUGCACUGUAUUUGUCUAUUCCAGCUGCUUAUCAUACAUAGGCACUCCUCUAGUAAAGAGAACACGUAACUGGAGAAGUUCUGCAUCUGCUCCAGUAAUCCCACUGACUGGCCACAUACAUUACAGUUUAGAGAAACCAUACAGUUCAAGAGAACUCACUGACUGAGUCCAGAGUGAAUCCCAUACAAAACUGAGAGUCAUUAAGGAAGCUCAGAGCCAUUUUUGGAGCUCCCUGGAGAAGCUGGGGAAGGAGAGCAGCCUCUGCCUCAUGGCAAGUGAGGCAGAGGUGAUGCUGAAAACAGAGGAGCCUGGCACUGUCAUGAGAAUAUCAAGGUGGGCACAUUGCAGGGUCCAAAACCCAGCAGUUGAAGAGGGCUCUGACUGAGCUGCUUAGCUACUGGUAUCUUUGUAGCAUUGCUGUCCUUUGCAAACUGAGGCAUGCAUCCCUCCAUGUGUUGUCACUUUUCACACAUUGCUACAAAACACGAUGCUGGUUUGACAGGCAGGAGGUUUCUAGUAAAGCCCCUGGUUGCCUGAACAAAGCUAUUCUAGUGAAUGGCAAAUAAACAGCUAGAAUAUUACAAAGAAAAGAUAGAAUAAAGCUACUGCCAAUAAGUUUUAAGAAGUGUAAAAAUGAGGAAAGACUGGCUGUUAAUUUCAUUUAAAUGACUACUCUUAUUUCUAUUCUAAUCAUCUAUUCUAAUUCCAUGUAAUCACAAUAUUGCGUUGAUUAGCUCACUGAAAUGUAAUCUGAUUAGUGGUUCACAAGGUUGCAUGUAAUGUAACUGAUUAUGCUAGUGCACAGCAUCUCUGAGUUGUUGGUUCUGUAUUGUUGCUCCUCUUAAUGAAUUGUCUGUGCAUAAAAAUUCACUGAAUAAAACUGAUUAUCUA
This is a long non-coding RNA of Dromaius novaehollandiae (emu), 7764 nucleotides long. RefSeq lists it as uncharacterized. The record is from RefSeq and is a predicted model, not a curated record. The transcript has 7 exons. Lineage: Eukaryota; Metazoa; Chordata; Aves; Casuariiformes; Dromaiidae.